This 225-nucleotide ribosomal RNA is filed under the name uncultured prokaryote. RNAcentral describes it as "partial 16S ribosomal RNA". It matches the Rfam family "Bacterial small subunit ribosomal RNA", at positions 525 to 749 of the family's 1533-position model. The record is from RNAcentral.
ACGUAGGGUGCGAGCGUUAAUCGGAAUUACUGGGCGUAAAGCGUGCGCAGGCGGUUCGCUAAGACAGGUGUGAAAGCCCCGGGCUCAACCUGGGAACUGCGCUUGUAACUGGCGGACUGGAGUACGGUAGAGGGGGGUAGAAUUUCAGGUGUAGCAGUGAAAUGCGUAGAGAUGUGGAGGAACACCGGUGGCGAAGGCAGCCCCCUGGGCCGAUACUGACGCUCA